RNAcentral lists this ribosomal RNA (473 nucleotides) under uncultured bacterium. Its description in RNAcentral is "partial small subunit ribosomal RNA". It matches the Rfam family "Bacterial small subunit ribosomal RNA", at positions 26 to 518 of the family's 1533-position model. The record is from RNAcentral.
AGGACGAACGCUGGCGGCGUGCUUAACACAUGCAAGUCGAGCGGAAAGGCCCUUCGGGGUACUCGAGCGGCGAACGGGUGAGUAACACGUGAGCAACCUGCCCCUGGCUCUGGGAUAGCCUUCGGAAACGGGGAUUAAUACCGGAUAUUCACUGCUUCCUGCAUGGGGGGUGGGUGGAAAGUUUUUCGGCUGGGGUGGGGCUCGCGGCCUAUCAGCCCCUUGUUGGGGGGUGACGGCCCACCAAGGCGACGACGGGUAGCCGGCCUGAGAGGGCGACCGGCCACACUGGGACUGAGACACGGCCCAGACUCCUACGGGAGGCAGCAGUGGGGAAUAUUGCGCAAUGGGCGAAAGCCUGACGCAGCAACGCCGCGUGGAGGACGAAGGCUUUCUGAGUUGUAAACUCCUUUCAGCAGGGACGAUUGUGCGGUACCUGCAGAAGAAGCACCGGCCAACUACGUGCCAGCAGCCGC